RNAcentral lists this long non-coding RNA (2133 nucleotides) under Monodelphis domestica (gray short-tailed opossum). RNAcentral describes it as "lncRNA (ENSMODG00000046454.1)". The record is from RNAcentral. Lineage: Eukaryota; Metazoa; Chordata; Mammalia; Didelphimorphia; Didelphidae.
CCGCAGUCAACAAUCUAACGGUCAGAUCUGUCCUGUGAACCCAACCAGGCCUUUUCUCAGUAUGGCCCCUCGAUCUUUGCUGAGGGGAGGGGACCCGAGGGGGUGGGUGGGGUUGCUGCUGUGUCUUGCCUGCCUUGGUUGCCUUUCACCCCCAUCAGCAUUAAGGCUUGGGGAGGACACACUUAGGUUAUUUUGGAGCAGUCCAAGGCCUUCGAUUUAACCCAUCAGCCCGUAUGAGUUUGGAGGUUUAAAAAGUUCCUGCAUGUUGGUUUUUUUAAUUAAAACCAGAAAAGAGUUUUGUUUUGAGAUUUUUUUUCAUAGAAUGUUAGGAUUGGAAAGGACUGGAGAGCUCAUCUAAUCCAAAAUUCUUUUCUAGGUGAAGAAACUGAGACACAGGGAGGUUUUGUUUAAUGACUUGUCUAUGGUCAGUCAGUAAAUUUCACAGCUGGAACAUAUUUUCUCUUAGCCUUGUGCUCUGCAUUUGUGUAUCUUGGAGCCAGAGCUUCUGUAUCUCUUCCUUGUUUAAGAAAGAUGUAGUUCUCUUCCUUGACCUCUCACCAAGAAUUCUUGCAGUUUCUGUGACUGAUUAGAGCCUUUAGGAAAAUGGGAGAGGCCUCUGGCUGCCAUCUUUGUAGGUGGGAAAGGAGGAUCAUGUCUUCAAAUACCACCGAACUUUUAAGCCUUUUUCUACCUCCUCUAACCCUAAAAUUAGUUAGAAACUUCUGGGGGCCUUCUUCAUACUUGGGGAAAGGGGAAGAGUUUAAAAGUAUGCCUUAAAACCUUUGUUCUGAGAGAUAUCUCCUCUUCUUUCCUUCCUGCUCCCUUCCUCCCAUUCUCUGCAGAGCCAUGAUGGCAGAGAUCCCACUUCUUCCAAGAAGCUUUCCUUGACUAACUCAGAGGAAGCGUAGAUGUGUGCUCAGAUCCAUCUUCUCUCUCUGAAAAAUCUGUCCAUAGGGACAGUCAUAUGGGUCAUGUUAUUGAGAAGUACAGUCAACUUUUUAUUAUCUAUACAGAGGCUGAGAGCAGCAUUACAGAGAGCUGAGGAAGACCCCCUUGAUUGCCUGUUGACUGAAGCAGCCAGGGUAUUUGCAAGAGCACAAGUGAAAGACAGGUAUCCAGAUUAUAUUUGCAUCAUAGAAGAAAACCGGUAAGACUCUUUUCCUUUUUUUUUUUGCAAAUAGUUUAUAUAAUAUCAGAAGUAUUUUCUUUGAAUGUUUGAUAGAAUUCACUUAAGAAUUCAUCUGGUUCUAGUUUUUUUUUCUCAUUAGGAAUUCAUGUAUACCUUAUUUAAUUUCUUUUUUUCUGAGGUUGGAUUAUCUAAGUUCUCUAUUUCCUUGAUAUGUACAUUUCAUAUUUCCAUAAGUAUUUUUUCAUUAAAGUUAUACAUUUUAUUGGCAUAUAAUUGAGGGAAUUAGUUUUUUAUAAUUUCCUUUAGAAUUCUCCUUUUUUUGUUUUGCUACCAUCCAAUUGAUUUUUCUCUUAAAUUUUUAAAGAAAUGGCAGUAGAUAAUGGUUUGUUUAAUUUUAUUUAUUUAAAAGAUCUCAUAGUUUUAUUUAUCAAUUUAAUUUCUUUUUGGCUUUAAAUUUGAUUUAUCUCUUCUUUGACUGUCAGAAUUUCUAUUUUUGUGUCUACUUGGAUUUUUGAUUAGUUACUUUUUGUUUUAUGGCCAAUUCUUUCUUUUAUCUAUUCUCUUUCUUUUUCUUUUUCUUUUCUGUUGUUGUUGGUGAAAGUGUUUAUUUCAUAGACAUAGAUUUAGAGGUUAAAGGAACCUUAGAGACCCUGAUGUUCAACCCCUUCAUUUUACAGAUGAGAAAACUGAGGCACAGUUUGUGACAUUCCUAGUGUCACAUAGGAUUUGAAAUUAGUUCUUUCUCAAACCAAGUUUAGUGGUAUAUAUAUAUUCUGUCACUGACCUCCCUAUACAUCUUCCUGCCUUCUGAAAAUGUUACAUUAUUUCAUAGUUGCCACUUUUGGGUGGGUAAAGUUAUUGGUGGUUUCUGUCUAUUCUUUGACUCAAUGAUUCUUUAGGAUUAAGUUAUUUAGUUGCAAAUUAAUUUUUAAUGCUCACUUCAGUUUCUUUACUGAAUGUAAUUUAAAUUUCAUUGUAUUCAAUAAAAGUCGUGCUUAAUAUUU